UAAAAAUCUGGACAAUUUCAUCCUUCCUUAGAAACAAACAAAAAAAUUAAUCCAAUUGAAAAAAUUAGAUAUGCUGAUGUGUAAUAUAUAAUAAAUGUGCCUCCAUUGCAACCAAAGUUCAAAACAAAUAGUUCUGAUGAAGAUGUUGAAUGAAAGUAGUAAGAGAAAAGUCAUUAGUACAUUUUACUUGGAAAAUAGAGAUUGUGGAAAAUGUUUCAUUAUCAAUCAUUUCGUGAAGAUGGGGAUAUCAAGAAGUAUAGUUUAUAGCAUCAUUGAAAGAGAUGAGAAUGGGAAAAAUCUAGAAAAAAGUGCUGGUUUUGGUCGAAAGCCUAAAAAAGAUGACUGAA
Molecule: long non-coding RNA, 347 nt
Filed under: Androctonus crassicauda
Lineage: Eukaryota; Metazoa; Arthropoda; Arachnida; Scorpiones; Buthidae
Source: RNAcentral